RNAcentral lists this ribosomal RNA (450 nucleotides) under uncultured bacterium. Its description in RNAcentral is "partial 16S ribosomal RNA". It matches the Rfam family "Bacterial small subunit ribosomal RNA", at positions 354 to 796 of the family's 1533-position model. The record is from RNAcentral.
GUGGGGAAUAUUGGACAAUGGGCGAAAGCCUGAUCCAGCCAUGCCGCGUGUGUGAAGAAGGUCUUCGGAUUGUAAAGCACUUUAAGUUGGGAGGAAGGGCAGUAAGUUAAUACCUUGCUGUUUUGACGUUACCGACAGAAUAAGCACCGGCUAACUUCGUGCCAGCAGCCGCGGUAAUACGAAGGGUGCAAGCGUUAAUCGGAAUUACUGGGCGUAAAGCGCGCGUAGGUUGUUUUGUAAGUUGGAGGUGAAAUCCCCGGGCUCAACCUGGGAACUUCCUCCAAAACUGCAUGACUAGAGUACGGUAGAGGGUAGUGGAAUUUCCUGUGUAGCGGUGAAAUGCGUAGAUAUAGGAAGGAACACCAGUGGCGAAGGCGACUACCUGGACUGAUACUGACACUGAGGUGCGAAAGCGUGGGGAGCAAACAGGAUUAGAUACCCCGGUAGUCC